GAUGAACGCUGGCGGCGUGCCUAAUACAUGCAAGUCGAGCGAACAGGCGAGGAGCUUGCUCCUCUGACGUUAGCGGCGGACGGGUGAGUAACACGUGGAUAACCUACCUAUAAGACUGGGAUAACUUCGGGAAACCGGAGCUAAUACCGGAUAAUAUAUUGAACCGCAUGGUUCAAUAGUGAAAGACGGUUUUGCUGUCACUUAUAGAUGGAUCCGCGCCGCAUUAGCUAGUUGGUAAGGUAACGGCUUACCAAGGCAACGAUGCGUAGCCGACCUGAGAGGGUGGUCGGCCACACUGGAACUGAGACACGGUCCAGACUCCUGCGGGAGGCAGCAGUAGGGAAUCUUCCGCAAUAGGCGAAAGCCUGACGGAGCAACGCCGCGUGAGUGAUGAAGGUCCUCGGAUCGUAAAACUCUGUUAUUAGGGAAGAACAAAUGUGUAAGUAACUAUGCACGUCUUGACGGUACCUAAUCAGAAAGCCACGGCUAACUACGUG
Molecule: ribosomal RNA, 497 nt
Filed under: uncultured bacterium
Lineage: Bacteria
Description: partial 16S ribosomal RNA
Rfam family: Bacterial small subunit ribosomal RNA
Source: RNAcentral